AAGAGGAAAGGAUUACUCCCUAUCAAGAGAAACAAUUAAUUAUUUAAACAACAAGUUUAUGUCUUUAAAGGCAGAUAUUUGUAAGGAGUUUGCCAAAAAAAACCGAGGAGUGUUUUUGAUAUGGAUAGGUGGAAAGCCGUUGAAUUUAGGCAAUUCCUACUGUAUACAGGUCCAGUAGUUUUGAGAGGAGUUUUAACAGAAAGCAGAUAUGAACACUUUAUUCAACUUAGCGUUGCAAUUAGAAUUCUCCUAAGUAACAAAUAUUGCUUGACUAAAAUAAGUAAGUUACCAGAGCUUUAUGACGAAACAUUUCUGAAAUAUAAUUUGUAUUGCCUGUCGCAUUUGGCAGAAGAAUGUAUAUAUUUUACCAAGAUAAUCUGCAUUCCAUUAGUGCUUUUAAAUAUGAAAGUUAUUUAUACAAAGUAAAGCAAAUGGUAAGAAAAUGAUCUCAAGUUGCUACGCAAAUAUAUAAUCGCCUUGUUGAGCAAAGCAUCAGUACAAUAUCAAUUGGAGAGAGCGCUACAAAAAUUGUAAAAAGAUGUAAAUGAGGAAACAUUCUGUCAAUAAGAAAUAAAUACAUAUAUAUGUCCAUAAAUGCUCCAGACCAUAUUUACAUUGUGGAUUCCAGAGUUAAUAAAAUUGAUCGAUUUUUUGAAGAAAACAAUGAAGUGAUUAUGAAAUCAAAUGAAAUUUUAUUUAACGAAGAUCUGUUCAAUUUGCCUUUAAAAUCAAGCCUUUUAGGCAUAAAAUAUUCGCUAGCCCUUCUUCUUAACGACAUACCGACAGUUCAUAAAGUAACAGACGUUAUUUCGUCUCCAGCUUGUAUAGCUGUCAUUCCCAUCAUACACAAUGAAUAACUUUACCAAGCAAUUUUUAAACGGAAACGAAACGGAAUCAGAGGAAACGACAACUUCGACAAAUACAGUCGAUAUGUCAAACGUUUCCUACACCAAAGUUUCCUUAACUUUUAACUUUGAAUAUCCUCCUACCUCAAGUAAGUAUAAUUAUUAAAAGUUACUUUCAAAGACUAUAAAGUAAAUUUGUAUUCUUUCAGCUAUGUUGCAGUUAAUUUUCAACCAGAUGCAAAAAUUGAAUAAAAAUGUAGAAGAACUUAGGGAACGCUUAGUUAAAUUGGAAGCUGAAAACACAAAGAUUCAAACUCGCCUACUAACGGAAGUGAUAGCACAACGAAAGCUUGUACAAGGAAAUAAGACUCGAAUGCUGCUACCACCAAAGCCCAUUGAUAAAUUAGAAGACCUUAAAAAUUUGAAGAGGACCUAAACAAUUCAGCUGAAUUGUGUGAACAACUGGAGACAGAUAUGAUAAACUAUAACAUUUCCGAUCCUGCUAAAUUUCUGCUCACAAUGUGGAAAAAAUGUUUACGGAUGAAAUUGCUACUAAGUAUUCGUUGAAGGGGACCAACACCAAAAUCUUGUCCUAAGCUUG
This is a long non-coding RNA of Drosophila gunungcola (fruit fly), 1446 nucleotides long. RefSeq lists it as uncharacterized. NCBI's taxonomy places the organism in Eukaryota, Metazoa, Arthropoda, Insecta, Diptera, Drosophilidae. The record is from RefSeq and is a predicted model, not a curated record. The transcript has 3 exons.